GAAAUGCGAUAAGUAAUGUGAAUUGCAGAAUUCCGUGAAUCAUCGAAUCUUUGAACGCACAUUGCGCCCUCUGGUAUUCCGGGGGGCAUGCCUGUCCGAGCGUCAUUGCGAACCCCUCAAGCACGGCUUGUGUGAUGGGCCCUCCCGCGUCUUGGUCGUCAAGACGGGCCCGAAAUGCAGUGGCGGCUUCGCGGUUAUCCGAUCAGCCAGAGCGUAUGGGGACUUUCUCUCUGUCACACGCCCGCGGCGCGGACCGACGCCUGUCGACCAUCAUUCAUCGUUUUCUCGGUUGACCUCGGAUCAGGUAGGGAUACCCGCUGAACUUAAGC
RNAcentral lists this unclassified non-coding RNA (329 nucleotides) under plant metagenome. RNAcentral's name for it is "partial contains 5.8S ribosomal RNA, internal transcribed spacer 2, and large subunit ribosomal RNA". The stretch from base 1 to 105 matches the Rfam family "5.8S ribosomal RNA", at positions 50 to 154 of the family's 154-position model. The record is from RNAcentral.